This 75-nucleotide transfer RNA is filed under the name Bacillota bacterium. Its description in RNAcentral is "tRNA-Glu". It matches the Rfam family "tRNA". Rfam says of the family: Transfer RNA (tRNA) molecules are approximately 80 nucleotides in length. Their secondary structure includes four short double-helical elements and three loops (D, anti-codon, and T loops). Lineage: Bacteria; Bacillati; Bacillota. The record is from RNAcentral.
GGCCCGUUGGUCAAGUGGUUAAGACACCGCCCUUUCACGGCGGUAUCAGGAGUUCGAAUCUCCUACGGGUCACCA